UACGUAUGGGGCGAGCGUUGUUCGGAAUUAUUGGGUGUAAAGGGCGUCUAGGCGGGAGAUUAAGUUAGAUGUGAAAGGCGUGGGCUUAACCCACGAAUUGCAUCUAAAACUGGUUUUCUUGAGUUCGGGAGAGGAGAGCGGAAUUCUUGGUGUAGCGGUGAAAUGCGUAGAUAUCAAGAAGAACACCAGUGGCGAAGGCGGCUCUCUGGCCUAGAACUGACGCUGAAGCGCGAAAGCGUGGGUAGCGAACGGGAUUAGAUACCCGUGUAGUCCCUGA
Molecule: ribosomal RNA, 277 nt
Filed under: uncultured prokaryote
Description: partial 16S ribosomal RNA
Rfam family: Bacterial small subunit ribosomal RNA
Source: RNAcentral